GCGAGUGAAGCGGCAAAAGCUCAAAUUUGAAAUCUGGCACCUUCGGUGUCCGAGUUGUAAUUUGAAGAUUGUAACCUUGGGGUUGGCUCUUGUCUAUGUUUCUUGGAACAGGACGUCACAGAGGGUGAGAAUCCCGUGCGAUGAGAUGCCCAAUCCUAUGUAAGGUGCUUUCGAAGAGUCGAGUUGUUUGGGAAUGCAGCUCUAAGUGGGUGGUAAAUUCCAUCUAAAGCUAAAUAUUGGCGAGAGACCGAUAGCGAACAAGUACAGUGAUGGAAAGAUGAAAAGAACUUUGAAAAGAGAGUGAAAAAGUACGUGAAAUUGUUGAAAGGGAAGGGUUUGAGAUCAGACUCGAUAUUUUGUGAGCCUUGCCUUCGUGGCGGGGUGACCCGCAGCUUAUCGGGCCAGCAUCGGUUUGGGCGGUAGGAUAAUGGCGUAGGAAUGUGACUUUGCUUCGGUGAAGUGUUAUAGCCUGCGUUGAUGCUGCCUGCCUAGACCGAGGACUGCGAUUUUAUCAAGGAUGCUGGCAUAAUGAUCCCAAACCGCCCGUCUUGAAACACGGACCAAGGAGUCUAACGUCUAUGCGAGUGUUUGGGUGUUAAACCCGUACGCGUAAUGAAAGUGAACGUAGGUGAGGGCUCUUUUGAGUGCAUCAUCGACCGAUCCUGAUGUCUUCGGAUGGAUUUGAGUAAGAGCAUAGCUGUUGGGACCCGAAAGAUGGUGAACUAUACCUGAAUAGGGUGAAGCCAGAGGAAACUCUGGUGGAGGCUCGUAGCGGUUCUGACGUGCAAAUCGAUCGUCGAAUUUGGGUAU
Molecule: ribosomal RNA, 810 nt
Filed under: Meyerozyma caribbica
Lineage: Eukaryota; Fungi; Ascomycota; Pichiomycetes; Serinales; Debaryomycetaceae
Description: LSU rRNA
Rfam family: Eukaryotic large subunit ribosomal RNA
Source: RNAcentral